Cylindrobasidium torrendii FP15055 ss-10 is the source of this 80-nucleotide transfer RNA. It matches the Rfam family "tRNA". Rfam says of the family: Transfer RNA (tRNA) molecules are approximately 80 nucleotides in length. The record is from Rfam. Lineage: Eukaryota; Fungi; Basidiomycota; Agaricomycetes; Agaricales; Physalacriaceae.
GCCGGCGUAGCGCAAUGGUAGCGCGUCGCUUUCCUAUAACCAGCAGGCGAAGGUUGCGAGUUCGAUCCUCGUCGUCGGUA